This 253-nucleotide ribosomal RNA is filed under the name uncultured bacterium. RNAcentral describes it as "partial 16S ribosomal RNA". It matches the Rfam family "Bacterial small subunit ribosomal RNA", at positions 524 to 776 of the family's 1533-position model. The record is from RNAcentral.
UACGGAGGGUGCAAGCGUUGUUCGGAUUUACUGGGCGUAAAGCGCGCGCAGGUGGUUGAACAAGUCGGAAGUGAAAUCUUGAGGCUCAACCUCGAGGCUGCUCCCGAAACUGUUCGCCUAGGGACUGGUAGAGGCUGGUAGAAUUCCCGGUGUAGCGGUGGAAUGCGUAGAGAUCGGGAAGAAUACCCGUGGCGAAGGCGGCCAGCUGGGCCAGGUCCGACACUGAGGCGCGAAAGCGUGGGGAGCAAACAGG